RNAcentral lists this small RNA (26 nucleotides) under Arabidopsis thaliana (thale cress). RNAcentral's name for it is "ATSL106580". Lineage: Eukaryota; Viridiplantae; Streptophyta; Magnoliopsida; Brassicales; Brassicaceae. The record is from RNAcentral.
UUAAGAACAGAAAAGAAAACAAAGUU